GGAAGAAUAAACAUACAUGUAUCUUCGAGCAGCUGUGAAGAAACCAGACCUGUAAAUAUGUUACAUUUACGUUGGACGUUUGUGUGUUUGGAUACAUGUUAAAUAUAAGUUAUAUUAUAACAAUGACUAACAUAUUUUGUGCUUCGAUUCUUUACGGAAAUUCCCACUUUACGUUCGCGACAAGAGAAACUGGUUGCCAUCACAGACCUGCCAUAGAUUGACUGAAUGACGUAUACCCCGAAUUGAUAGGUACGUCAUUAUGCAGACGGGUUUUCCAGAGGCCUCGACGGUGAUCUUGUGUCGGCAAUUUCCAUCGGGGAUGAAUUUAUUUUAUGUAGCAAAGCAUAGUAGGACAUGCAUCAGUCAACAAUUUGGUGAGAUGGACUGACAACACUCUUCAGCAGGUGCCAAACCACAAAACGAAUAUGGAUGUAUCAAAUGUCAUUCUGUCAAUGUGCAGGUGAGUUAACCUAUACCAUCAGACUGACGAAGUAUUGAAUGAAAAAUGAACAAGAAAUAAGAAUGACCAGUGACCAUGACAUCAAAAAACCCCAAGUGACAGCUUGUUCACAACACAGAGAGGAUGUUUGUCAUGGAACAGAAUCAAUUCUUUUUCAAUUCUUUAUUAAAAAUAGAUGUUAAUGUGCGUUGGUGAUUUGUACACACAGAGUUGCAUAUUUGAAGGUCACGGUCAAGGUGAGUUAACCUAUACCAUCAGACUGACGAAGUAUUGAAUGAAAAAUAAACAAGAAAUAAGAAUGACCAGUGACCAUGACAUCAAAAAACCCCAAGUGACAGCUUGUUCACAACACAGAGAGGAUGUUUGUCAUGGAACAGAAUCAAUUCUUUUUCAAUUCUUUAUUAAAAAUAGAUGUUAA
Molecule: long non-coding RNA, 878 nt
Organism: Gigantopelta aegis
Lineage: Eukaryota; Metazoa; Mollusca; Gastropoda; Neomphalida; Peltospiridae
Exons: 4
Source: RefSeq, a predicted model, not a curated record